UGGCGUAUGGUGGAUGCCUUGGCAGACAGUACCGAUGAAGGACGUGUGGGGCCGCGAUAGGCCUCGGGGAGCCGCCGACAGGGCUUUGAUCCGAGGAUUUCCGAAUGGGGGAACCCGCCGGCCGUAUGGGCCGGCACCGGACUUGUCCGGGGGGUACGCAGGGAAGUGAAACAUCUCAGUACCUGCAGGAAAGGAUACUCCGUGAGUAGUGGCGAGCGAAAGCGGAUGAUGGCUAAACCGUGUGCGUGUGAUACCGGUCAGGGGUUGCGCGCGCGGUGUCGUGGGAAAACCAUGUCGGAACGCUGACUCGUUCCGGACGCAGUGACAAACCGUGGCGUGAGGUGAAACGGAUUGAAUGCCGUACCGUAGGGGGUGAUGGUCCCGUAGCCGAAAGCGCCGUGGCUGUGUGGUGGUUUGUCCCGAGUAGCGCGGGCCUCGUGGAAUCCCGUGUGAAUCCGCCCAGACCGUUGGGUAAGCCUGAGUAUAGCUGUCUGACCGAUAGUGGACGAGUACCGUGAGGGAAAGGUGAAAAGUACCCCGGGAGGGGAGUGAAACAGUUCCUGAAACCGUGCGCUUGCGAACCGUCAGGGCCCCUUUGCGGGGUGAUGGCGUGCCUAUCGAAAAAUGAGUCUGCGAGUUAGUGGCAUGUGGCGAGCAUAAGCCUUGUGGCGGAUGCGUAGCGAAAGCGAGUGCGAAAGCGCGUCGAGUCGUGUGUCCUAGACCCGAAGCGGGAUGAUCUAGCCCUGGUCAGGUUGAAGCGCGGGUAAGACCGCGUGGAGGACCGCACCCACCUAGGUUGAAAACUGGGGGGAUGAACUGGGGUUAGGGGUGAAAGGCCAAUCAAAUUCCGUGAUAGCUGGUUCUCUUCGAAAUGCAUUUAGGUGCAGCGUCGGAUGUUGCGUCCGGGGGGUAGAGCUACUGGAUGCUUGCGGGCCCGUAUCGGGUACCAACAGCAACCAAACUCCGAAUACCCGUGGCGUUAGUCCGGCAGUGAGUCGGCGGGGGAUAAGCUCCGUCGUCGAGAGGGAGACAGCCCAGAUCGUCGUCUAAGGUCCCCAAGUGUGUGCUAAGUGGGAAAGGAUGUGGAGUCGCAUAGACAGCCAGGAGGUUGGCUCAGAAGCAGCCAUCCUUGAAAGAGUGCGUAACAGCUCACUGGUCUAGUGGUUCCGCGCCGACAAUGUAGCGGGGCUCAAGCACACCACCGAAGACGCGGCAACAGGCGUGUGCCUGUUGGGUAGAAGAGCGUCGCGCGACGGGGUGAAGCCCUGGGGUGACCCGAGGGUGGACUUCGCGCGAGUGAGAAUGCAGACAUGAGUAGCGAGACCGGGGUGGGAAUCCCCGGCGCUGAAUGACCAAGGGUUCCAGGGCCACGCUUGUCGUCCCUGGGUGAGUCGGGUCCUAAGGCGAGGCCGACAGGCGUAGUCGAAUGGAUGAACGGGUUGAUAUUCCCGUACCGGCUGUGGACCGUCCCGCCGAUAGCGGUGUCCCGGUGGUUCUCCCGUAUGGCGUGCGCGUUUUCGGACGCGCGGGCUUGUCGGGUGUUCCGUUUGGGGCCCGUGUGUAGGUAGCGGAGGAAUGACGCGGUCAGGUAGCUUCCCGCGGAGGUGGUUUUCCGUGGCCAAGCGUGCGGCCCGGCCCCCGAGCAAAUCUAGGGGCCAUGCGGGCGAGGCGUGAUGGUGGGCACCGUUUGGUGCGAUAUGAAGUGAUCCUGGCGGCCGAGAAAAGUUUCGUCGCGAGGUCCGCGGGCGCCCGUACCCGAAACCGACACUGGUGGUCUGGUAGAGUAUACCGAAGCGAUCGAGUGAAUCCUGGUCAAGGAACUCGGCAAAUUGCUCCCGUGCCUUCGGCAUAAGGGAGACCCCCGGCGGUGAGGGCCUUUGCGGCCGGAGCUGUUGGGGGUGGCACAAGCCAGGGGGUAGCGACUGUUUACCAAAAACACAGGUGCAUGCGAAGACGCAAGUCGCGGUAUAUGCACUGACGCCUGCCCGGUGCCGGAAGGUUAAGAGGAUCCGUCAGCUUCGGCGAAGCGGUGAAUUCAAGCCCCGGUAAACGGCGGUGGUAACUAUAACCAUCCUAAGGUAGCGAAAUUCCUUGUCGGGUAAGUUCCGACCUGCACGAAUGGCGUAACGACUUCCCCACUGUCUCGACCAGGAACUCGGCGAAAUUGCAGUACGAGUAAAGAUGCUCGUUAAGCGCAGAAGGACGAAAAGACCCCGGGACCUUUACUAUACCUUGGUAUUGGUGUCAGGUGGUUGUUGUGUAGGAUAGGCGGUAGACUGUGAAGCGCGGGCGCCAGCCCGUGUGGAGUCGCAAGGUGAAAUACCGCUCUGCGGCCAUCUGGCGUCUCACCUCGACAAGUCAUCCUUGUCAGGGACAGUGCCUGGCGGGUAGUUUAACUGGGGCGGUUGCCUCCCAAAGAGUAACGGAGGCGCUCAAAGGUUCCCUCGGCCCGGUUGGCAAUCGGGUGUCGAGUGUAAUCGCACAAGGGAGCUUGACUGCGAGAACGACGGUUCGAGCAGGGACGAAAGUCGGAGAUAGUGAUCCGGUGCCGGCGUACGGACGCGGCAUCGCUCAACGGAUAAAAGGUACCCCGGGGAUAACAGGCUGAUCAUUCCCAAGAGUCCAUAUCGACGGGAUGGUUUGGCACCUCGAUGUCGGCUCGUCGCAUCCUGGGGCUGGAGCAGGUCCCAAGGGUUCGGCUGUUCGCCGAUUAAAGCGGCACGCGAGCUGGGUUCAGAACGUCGUGAGACAGUUUGGUCUCUAUCCUCUGCGCUCGUUGGAAUCUUGAGGAGGCCUGCCCAUAGUACGAGAGGACCUGGGUGGACGAACCUCUGGUGUGCCAGUUGUCGCGCCAGCGGCAUGGCUGGUUGGCUACGUUCGGAUGGGAUAACCGCUGAAAGCAUCUAAGCGGGAAGCCCGCUCCAAGAUAAGGAUUCCUGGCCAACUUUCGGGUUGG
RNAcentral lists this ribosomal RNA (2956 nucleotides) under Bifidobacterium magnum DSM 20222. Its description in RNAcentral is "bacterial LSU rRNA". It matches the Rfam family "Bacterial large subunit ribosomal RNA". Lineage: Bacteria; Bacillati; Actinomycetota; Actinomycetes; Bifidobacteriales; Bifidobacteriaceae. The record is from RNAcentral.